AAAUUGAAGAGUUUGAUCAUGGCUCAGAUUGAACGCUGGCGGCAGGCCUAACACAUGCAAGUCGAACGGUAACAGGAAGCAGCUUGCUGCUUUGCUGACGAGUGGCGGACGGGUGAGUAAUGUCUGGGAAACUGCCUGAUGGAGGGGGAUAACUACUGGAAACGGUGGCUAAUACCGCAUAACGUCGCAAGACCAAAGAGGGGGACCUUCGGGCCUCUUGCCAUCAGAUGUGCCCAGAUGGGAUUAGCUAGUUGGUGAGGUAACGGCUCACCAAGGCGACGAUCCCUAGCUGGUCUGAGAGGAUGACCAGCCACACUGGAACUGAGACACGGUCCAGACUCCUACGGGAGGCAGCAGUGGGGAAUAUUGCACAAUGGGCGCAAGCCUGAUGCAGCCAUGCCGCGUGUAUGAAGAAGGCCUUCGGGUUGUAAAGUACUUUCAGCGGGGAGGAAGGUGUUGUGGUUAAUAACCGCAGCAAUUGACGUUACCCGCAGAAGAAGCACCGGCUAACUCCGUGCCAGCAGCCGCGGUAAUACGGAGGGUGCAAGCGUUAAUCGGAAUUACUGGGCGUAAAGCGCACGCAGGCGGUCUGUCAAGUCGGAUGUGAAAUCCCCGGGCUCAACCUGGGAACUGCAUUCGAAACUGGCAGGCUUGAGUCUUGUAGAGGGGGGUAGAAUUCCAGGUGUAGCGGUGAAAUGCGUAGAGAUCUGGAGGAAUACCGGUGGCGAAGGCGGCCCCCUGGACAAAGACUGACGCUCAGGUGCGAAAGCGUGGGGAGCAAACAGGAUUAGAUACCCUGGUAGUCCACGCCGUAAACGAUGUCUACUUGGAGGUUGUGCCCUUGAGGCGUGGCUUCCGGAGCUAACGCGUUAAGUAGACCGCCUGGGGAGUACGGCCGCAAGGUUAAAACUCAAAUGAAUUGACGGGGGCCCGCACAAGCGGUGGAGCAUGUGGUUUAAUUCGAUGCAACGCGAAGAACCUUACCUGGUCUUGACAUCCACAGAACUUUCCAGAGAUGGACUGGUGCCUUCGGGAACUGUGAGACAGGUGCUGCAUGGCUGUCGUCAGCUCGUGUUGUGAAAUGUUGGGUUAAGUCCCGCAACGAGCGCAACCCUUAUCCUUUGUUGCCAGCGGUCAGGCCGGGAACUCAAAGGAGACUGCCAGUGAUAAACUGGAGGAAGGUGGGGAUGACGUCAAGUCAUCAUGGCCCUUACGACCAGGGCUACACACGUGCUACAAUGGCGCAUACAAAGAGAAGCGACCUCGCGAGAGCAAGCGGACCUCAUAAAGUGCGUCGUAGUCCGGAUUGGAGUCUGCAACUCGACUCCAUGAAGUCGGAAUCGCUAGUAAUCGUGGAUCAGAAUGCCACGGUGAAUACGUUCCCGGGCCUUGUACACACCGCCCGUCACACCAUGGGAGUGGGUUGCAAAAGAAGUAGGUAGCUUAACCUUCGGGAGGGCGCUUACCACUUUGUGAUUCAUGACUGGGGUGAAGUCGUAACAAGGUAACCGUAGGGGAACCUGCGGUUGGAUCACCUCCUUACCUUAAAGAA
Molecule: ribosomal RNA, 1552 nt
Filed under: Salmonella enterica subsp. enterica serovar Krefeld
Lineage: Bacteria; Pseudomonadati; Pseudomonadota; Gammaproteobacteria; Enterobacterales; Enterobacteriaceae
Description: bacterial SSU rRNA
Rfam family: Bacterial small subunit ribosomal RNA
Source: RNAcentral